This 497-nucleotide ribosomal RNA is filed under the name uncultured bacterium. RNAcentral describes it as "partial 16S ribosomal RNA". It matches the Rfam family "Bacterial small subunit ribosomal RNA", at positions 28 to 507 of the family's 1533-position model. The record is from RNAcentral.
GAUGAACGCUGGCGGCGUGCCUAAUACAUGCCAGUCGAGCGAACAGACGAGGAGCUUGCUCCUCUGACGUUAGCGGCGGACGGGUGAGUAACACGUGGAUAACCUACCUAUAAGACUGGGAUAACUUCGGGAAACCGGAGCUAAUACCGGAUAAUAUAUUGAACCGCAUGGUUCAAUAGUGAAAGACGGUUUUGCUGUCACUUAUAGAUGGAUCCGCGCCGCAUUAGCUAGUUGGUAAGGUAACGGCUUACCAAGGCAACGAUGCGUAGCCGACCUGUGAGGGUGAUCGGCCACACUGGAACUGAGACACGGUCCAGACUCCUACGGGAGGCAGCAGUAGGGAAUCUUCCGCAAUGGGCGAAAGCUUGACGGAGCAACGCCGCGUGAGUGAUGAAGGUCUUCGGAUCGUAAAACUCUGUUAUUAGGGAAGAACAAAUGUGUAAGUAACUAUGCACGUCUUGACGGUACCUAAUCAGAAAGCCACGGCUAACUACGUG